This 253-nucleotide ribosomal RNA is filed under the name uncultured bacterium. Its description in RNAcentral is "partial 16S ribosomal RNA". It matches the Rfam family "Bacterial small subunit ribosomal RNA", at positions 524 to 776 of the family's 1533-position model. The record is from RNAcentral.
UACGUAGGGACCGAGCGUUGUCCGGAAUCAUUGGGCGUAAAGAGCGUGUAGGCGGCCCCUUAAGUCCUGCGUGAAAUCCUGCGGCUCAACCGCAGACGGUCGUGGGAAACUGGAGGGCUAGAGUGCGGGAGAGGAGAGUGGAAUUCCCGGUGUAGCGGUGAAAUGCGCAGAUAUCGGGAAGAACACCGGUGGCGAAGGCGGGUCUCUGGGCCAUUACUGACGCUGAGGAGCGAAAGCGUGGGGAGCGAACAGG